UUACAUGCACUCCAAUAGUUGAACAUUGUAGCGUGGCAACAGUCAUUGGUCUUUACUUGAGAGUCGAACUUAUGAGAAGCAUGCCACAACGUUACAAGGAACUCUGAUUUGGACAUACAAUAUUCCCAGCAGCACUGCUGUGAAUCCCUGGUUUCGCAUAGAAAUCUCAAGCUCUUUUUGUUUGAGGUAGCUGAGGUGGCCCUUUUUGGAGGAAAACUUUUGAUAUGCUUAUACGCUAAGCUAAAAUUUUGGAACAAUCUGUAAAUGGUUUGUAUGAAACACUACUGCUGCUUUUGCAAAACUAGACUGGAAUUAUGUAUCCUGUUGUUCCUCUUCCUACA
This is a long non-coding RNA of Populus euphratica (Euphrates poplar), 341 nucleotides long. RefSeq lists it as uncharacterized. The record is from RefSeq and is a predicted model, not a curated record. The transcript is spliced from 2 exons. Lineage: Eukaryota; Viridiplantae; Streptophyta; Magnoliopsida; Malpighiales; Salicaceae.